UAUAUUUGCUAUUACAACAGUUAUAGUGAAUCGUGUUAGGGUAGAAAUACAGCAGCACUAAGCUUUAAUAAUUGUGUGUAAUAGCUUUUAUUUUGUA
This 97-nucleotide signal recognition particle RNA is filed under the name Mycoplasma sp. RNAcentral's name for it is "signal recognition particle sRNA small type". It matches the Rfam family "Bacterial small signal recognition particle RNA". Rfam says of the family: The signal recognition particle (SRP) is a universally conserved ribonucleoprotein involved in the co-translational targeting of proteins to membranes. The record is from RNAcentral. Lineage: Bacteria; Bacillati; Mycoplasmatota; Mollicutes; Mycoplasmatales; Mycoplasmataceae.